UUGAAUGCCUUGUAAAAGUCAUACAGCUAGUAAAAAAAACCUUGAGUUAAAUUCAGAUCAUCUUGACUUGCCAAGUCUGCCACUCUAUCCACUGUUUCACCUAGCAGGUAAGGUAUGAGAGAGCCAAAAAUUAGCAACCAGUGAGAUUCUGAGAUCUGUUCUUUUCAUAAACUGUAUACAGUUAGAAGGUUUCUUCUUUUUUUUUUUCUAGGUUUUUUGGCUCCUCUCUUUUUUCUCUUUUUUUUUCCCUCUGCCUUUUCUUUCCCUCCUCUCUUGCUUCUGUCGUGAACAUCUAGAGCUUGAGACUUAGAAUGACUGUCCUAUAUCUAGUGCUGAUCAGUGUUUCUCUUCUGUUGUAGGUUUUUGUGAAAACUGGAGUGUUUUGCUUCUCAGAGAUCUGAAUCUAUCCAGAAGGUUUCCUGAAGGGCUUCUGCUGCAGAACACUUAAUAAAAUCUCUUGACUUUGAUACUGGCAGGGCCUGUUGCGCCUUCCUCUAGUGACAUUCUUGGC
Molecule: long non-coding RNA, 511 nt
Organism: Antechinus flavipes (yellow-footed antechinus)
Lineage: Eukaryota; Metazoa; Chordata; Mammalia; Dasyuromorphia; Dasyuridae
Exons: 3
Source: RefSeq, a predicted model, not a curated record